Long non-coding RNA from Homo sapiens (human), 1818 nucleotides. RefSeq lists it as uncharacterized. The record is from RefSeq and is a predicted model, not a curated record. The transcript has 4 exons. NCBI's taxonomy places the organism in Eukaryota, Metazoa, Chordata, Mammalia, Primates, Hominidae.
AGGUGGGGUACUUCGAAAGGCUCUUACUUUUAAGGGCGGGAUGAGAAAAUCAAGGCUGUAGGAACUGCAAUAGCUAACCAAUCAGGUUUGGACCAGCCAGUCUUCUAGACCAUUCAACAGCAACGCUGAAACAGCCCUAUCCCUCCAAAAGACAUAAACACAGAAAAAAUGGCCACACAACUUCAAGAAUAUGCAGAAAUGGAUGGAAUAACUACAACAGUUCCAAGGACGCUUCUAUCUUUAGACUGCUGUAUUAUGAGAGAGGAUGGGAGAAAUGAGAGCAUCAAGAAACAAAAGACUCAUGGAAUCAUAGGACAUUCAUCUUGGAUGAGACCAGAGAGGCCAACCCAUGUGUGUAUUUCCCCACCCCAUCCAACCCCCAGCAACUCACUCUCCUCUGGACACACCCAGUGACUUGGGAGCAGUCAGCUAUGCCCUAUGGGAAGCACAGGAGCUGCCUGCCUGCUUGCAACGACCAGCCAUUUGAUUUGCCUGCUCUGUACCCUGGCUGCAUCUCAAGGGCUCUUCAAGGGACAAAGAAGUUACAGUCAGAUUGGUUUCUGUGGACGGAAGCCUGGCAGCUCAGCACCUGUCAUGGGCCACCCCGAACACAGCAAGUGGAAAUGCGUCCUCUGGACCCCCACCUGCCUGGGACACUCACCUCAUCCUGACAGGCCCAGCCCUUCUCUGCCAUCCCGUGCUGCGAGGCACCACCAACUGCCAAGGUGUGGGCUGAAGGGCAGCGGCCCAGGCCAAUGGAGACUUGGGGAAGGUAAGGAAAGGAGAACCAAGAAUUAAGUGGGAUGGAGGGAGCAGAAAAGAGAAGAAGUGUCCCAGCAAGGAGGAACUUCCUGGGAAGAUGAAAUAAGAGGCAGAUUCUCCUCGGUGAGUGGUUGCAUAAGUCUAGGGCAGCUCCAUAGUAAGAUUCCAGGGGCAAUAGGGGUGGAUGGAACAUCAACGCAACCUCAAUGGCGGACCGCGGGGUGACAGCGAGGGGUGCCUCCUGCACACCGACAGGGUCUGGUAUUUACUUUAGCACAGGCCUCAGGAAUACAGUUCUGCCUCAUAAAAGACUAGGGAAUGCUGACAAAAGAAAGUUCUGUGCUUUCCUGACAACUGCAUGCACUGUCAGGAAACAGUGGGUCCUACUUAGAGUUGAGUUGGAAAAUGGAUUUGGGGGCUGAAGAAUCAAAUGAUGCUGUGAAGCACUCUCUUUGUGGCGUCUUCAUAACACUUCAUGCUUGUGGAGCUGGCAGUCACUGGAUUCAGCUUCCUCCCAAUGCAGGGAUUCCUUACACACAACUGCUGAGCAGCAUGCAGGGACCUAAGGCCACUCCGUGGUGCAGCCGGCUAAGAAAUGACAGGGCCACCAGGCCGGCUGCACUCCUGUACCUUCCUCUCUUAUUCAGUGCAGGAAGCCCAGUGUUCCUGUAGCAGGCAGCCCCAUGGUCUAGCUCAGUCUAGCUCCACAUCCUGUCCUCAAUGUGACAAAGAUCCUGUGCUUGGCCAGUCUUUAGUCAGGCCCUGAUCCUUCUCCUAGGCCCAUUAGCAAGAACCCCAGCUAAGUCAGUCUGGCAAGAAUUCCCCACAGAAACAUGCUGACAUGCUGACCUGCCUUCAGCAGGAAACCCUUUAGGCUGGUUUGGCCAGAACUGCCCGCAGACUUGGCGUCUCCUCUGAGUAACUUUACACCCACUGACCCUCUGCUCCUUGGCCAUCAGUGCCCACUCGUCCCCGUUGUACUUGUAACGGAGCCCAACCCAGCUCUUCACUGGAGUCUUUUUUGCAAUAGUCCUGAAUAAAAUGUGCCAUCACUGA